Non-coding RNA from Rattus norvegicus (Norway rat), 5469 nucleotides. Lineage: Eukaryota; Metazoa; Chordata; Mammalia; Rodentia; Muridae. The record is from RefSeq and is a predicted model, not a curated record.
AGUGAGAGUUCGAGCAUUGGUUCACUUUUUUCCACCUCACUGGUCUUCUCUGACGACACUCAUGUAUUGGUUCGCCUUACAUCGUGUUGCCGAGGUUCGCUUGCGGUGACGUCAUAGAGAGAAACUCGCCCGAGAACUUCUCAUGAGGUUCCUGCGGCCUCUUGCCACUUUGGCUGGACUCAGGCUGGUUCCGCGGCCCGAGCUUCACGGUUUCUUCUGGGUUGGAUUGCAGUUGCUGACUCGUGAGCGGAGAUUGGUGGGUGGGGUCUGCAGCUGCUGCUUCAUGUUUGGCGUUUUCUAGUAGACUGGACUGAGAGCUACUCAGAAGAUUGGACUCACCCGCAAAGGGUCCACUUCCCCAUAUCCUAAUAAUCUUUCUCCUCAACAACCUCUGGAAGGUGGUGAGCUAGAUGGGUGGUUAAACCCUUAUAGGUUGAGAAAAUAAUUGCCUACAAACAGGUAAAUCAUGGAAAAGAAUCUAUUUGCCAAUCUUCACACUUAGGAAGCUCUCUGGAAGGUUCUACAGUGAACAACGAUAUUACAGGGGGAGCAGGUGAACCUGGGACUCAGUCAUAGCUGAUUUCAUUGUUUCUUUGACACUGGGCCUCAUGUCCUCUAGGCUGGCCUCAAAGUCACCGUUUAGCUAGGCAUCACCUUGAACUUCGGAUGCCCCUGUUUUCAUCUUCCCACACCCCAAAUGCUGGGAUCAGGGGUGUGUACCACCAUGCCCAAGUCAUGUGACACUGAAACUCUAACCCAGGGCCUUGUGCAUGUUGGGUGGGUACCCUGCCAACCAACCACGCCCCCAGCCCAAUGGCUCAUUUUUUUUUUAGAUGUAGUGACAGGAGCAUUACAAAGAGGAAAGCCAGAGAAUUCUAGGGCAUAACCUAGAGUCAGUAACACGUUAAAGCCUUAUUGUAAAGAAAUAUUGCAUACGAGUAGCUAUUCACGAGAAACCCAUACGCAAGGCAAAAUAACCUUGGACGGGAAACACAUAAGAAACUAAUUUGCAUAUUGAUCUGCUGAUGAAAAGGUGGCUGAAGGCUCAUGGGUUCAAACCCCAUACCUCCCGGGGAGCAACGGCUCUGGAUGUGCUAAUACUGUAUCCAUGGCAACAUUAUAAACUCUAACUGCCAGAAAUAACAAGAAUCGACUAUAGCUUUUUAAAUUACAAGGUGAUUAUGGGCAAAGACAAUUUGGAACCUGAAAACACUUUUUACAAAAGCAUCUGCCUCCCGGGGUCGCCUCCCAGGGACGCAGAGUCAAGCAGGCACACACACCUGCACUUCUUUGAGGCCACACCAUGUGAAUAUACACUUUUUCACUAUAUGUGACAUAUUUUUUGAGGUUCCUUUGAAAAUGCCACCAUUAGGAGCGAAUAUUCUAAAAUUCGAUUUAUAAAAAUCUCUCUAUAAUAUCCAGUCCUAGGGAUUUUCCUGGUGUGUAUGCCUACUUUCCUGGCACUGGGCAAGGUUUAUAGGUAGAGGUAAAGCACGGUGUUUACUCUGCAAGUGCAGGGAAGCCCACGAAGGAUGAACGAACCUUGCCAAGCCAUGCUCUUAGGGAGGAGUGAGUGCCUGACAGGCCAUGAGUCUGCGGUCUCACGAGCAGGAGUACUCACUCUCAUUCCCCCUAGGCCACCGCGUGGACCAGGCACACUUGUGGUUGGGGCUCAGGUUGUCUCCAGACUGUGAGCUCCCUCCUUGCAACAGCCACCAACAGCCACUUACUGAUCCGUUCUGAGAGAUGGGUGCCUGAGGUAGCAAGCACCAAGUACCAUUGAUUGAGAUAAUCUCAACAAACAGAAUUCGGGUAAACAGAGGCCACAGUAAACUCCACCCCCUGAAGAGGGUAAGCUCUGAGUAAGCUGGGUAGACAAAAGUUUUGUUGGGACAGAUGCUAGAACUCUCUGAAGGUUCCGAGCGCAUAUGGCAGUCAUCUCAGCCACCUCUAAGAAGUGUUUUGAUCCUACAUAUACCUAUUGUAUAAUUAAUUUAUUGGACAGUGUUGGACAAAUGUGACUUGAGAGAGAAAGAGAGAGGGGGGAGGAAGGAGGAGGAGGGAAAGCAGGUAGACAAGAAGGAAGGAAGGAAGAAAGGAAGGAAGGAAAGAAGGAAGGAAGGAAGGAAAGAAGGAAAGAAGGAAGGAAGGCUUCUACACAAGUCAUCUCAUAAUGUCAUCUUUCUCUGUUGGAGGCUGCUAUCAUCCUUGGUCCUAAACAGGCAGGAGAAUUCUGGAUGAGGUCAAGUGAAGCUGGCAUUGCUUCCAAGCCUAUUUUGUGUUGGAAACUUUUUUACUCUGAUUCUAGCUUAGAGCAUCCUGCUCAGCCACUGCCCCUGUAAUAGGGGUGAUUAAGUGAGUCAAUCCCAAGAUGCUGCUUCUCUAGAGAGAUGCUUCUUAUGUUGUGCUUACUGGACCUCUGACUUUCGUCUUGGAUGUGUUUCUUACCCACAUUUUAACCGGCAGCAUGUCUUUAUUAAGAUUCUAUACCCCAGGGGCAGGAGAGAUACUGAGCAGUUAAGAGCACAGACUGAUCUUCCAGAGGAUGUGAGUUUAAUUCCCAGUACUUAUGUCGGCUUCCAGAGGGCACACAUUUGAUGCCCAGCAACCAUGUCUGCUAGCUCACAACUGCCUGUCAUUCCAGCUCCAAAGGAUCUGAUUCUCUGGCCCUCUAUACAAAUCUUCACAUAAACAUACACCUCUACAGAUAAUUAAAUAUAAUGAAAAUGCACCUUUAAAAUCCUAUAGUCCAGCCUUCACCAGACCCUAGGGCUCUCUGCCUUGAGCUGUUAUUAUAUUGUUAUUUUGCCUGUUACACAAUGAUGCUGUGGACCAGAGAAGGUCUUUAAACAUAGCUUCAAUAUGUAGCCCCAUGGUGAGACACUACCCACAUGCACCAGGUUCAUCACAUAGACACAGCCCUACUAGUAGUACAGCUACUUGGGGAUGAGCUUUCCUGACUUUUCUGACAUCCAUACAAAAGGUCCAGAUUCAUACCAGCUGAGAGGACUGUGACAUUUCUAGGAUGUUGUUGCAUGGAUUAGGAUGACCCACCUGACUUAUCGGGAAUUUCCCUUCCAGACAUGUCUGUUUUUACUCUGGACUCAGGCCUUCUGCAAGCUUCAAAGAGGAGCUGCAAUUCCCAACAGUACCAGUACUAGGACAAAUGACCCCAAAUCCAGACUGUCAGCUUUGUAGACGUCCUCAUUUGCAAGGCCCUGGAUCAACGUUCUGCCUCGCUGAGACCAUUAAGGAAAAGUAGGCACCUGGACAGUGAGAAACAGCGUCCUUCCAACACGAGAACCUCGGGUCAUCUCCUUUAUGUUGCUUUGAUCUUCUGCAAGGUUCCACAGGGAUUUUCCUUUAGAGCUCAGAAUCCAGUGAUCAGUGAUCCUUGGGAAGGAUGCCGAGACAAGCAGCAGCACCGUGAUGCUUCAUCAGCACAGAGUACAGCAAAAGCAUUGCCUGGACAUGGCCGCUUUGAAAGCCUGACAAGAAGCUAGCUACAGUCAUGGUCAAGGUCACCGUGACGUAGUCAAUCUCCUGCAUAUGCAUUUCCUAACUCUCAUUACUGGACUCCAUACUUGGCUUUUACCUUUGACCCCGUCCACCCCUGAGUAACACCUGGUGUCCUCAGUUCCUAUAUUGUGAUAACCCCAGCCACCCUCUCCUGUGACAAACAACAAAGGGGAAGGAUGUUUUCUUGACGGCUAAAGCAAGUUAGUUUGUGGUUUAAUUCCUAAUAGUGGUAUGAAGGAUUGUUUUCUCGUGUUCAGCUGAAAUCAUCUGCUGUCUCUCAUAUGAACGGCAGAAUGCUCGAGGGCUGGGGCGAUGGAUGGGAGAAUCUGAACUAAAGCCAAACGCUGUUCUCCAGCCCAAGCCCCGUGCGAGCAGGGCGAGGUCUGGUUAACAUCCCAGUGCACACCCAUUUGUAAUGUGAAGUCAGCGACACCGCACUCCGUGGCCUCUGAUGCCUGCAAUUUAAUAAAGUGAGAACUCAACACAAGGGUUGGGUCCUGAAGCAGUGACAUUCUCUCUCUGUUGGAUCACAUUUCCCAGCGUGCGUGUGAGCGUGGAGAAGAUGGAGACAGGACUCGGGAGGCAGAAGAAUACAAACAUGAAGCCUGAAAUGGAAAAUUAAAGAGGAGAUUAAACUCCGCCGUCUAACCCAGCUACGAAAGGUUCCAAGUAACUGCUCUUGAGCCCUGUCCCCAGUACCUGUCUGUCUGGUCCAAUCCUGGUUCCCCCACCCCCCACCCAUCCUCCAUCCCGGCUUCUGGCCCUGGAUGUUGUCCUUGUGGUGUGUUCUUCCUAAGAUCCAAGCUAGCUGGCUCUGUGUCUCUAGUGAGUCUCUGGGCCCCGCUUCUUGGCUGUUUAACCUCUGGCUCUAGGGACUAUUUCUGACCUAUGUGAUUUGUACCAGUGUCUGGACCAACAGGAGACUUGAGUCUUUUGGUCUCGGGAGCCACCCACAUACCUGCCCAUUUAACGGGACUCACCUGGAUAUCUGGGCCUUCCCUCAGUGCCAUGUGGCCCCAGACCAUCCCUGGCCAUGCUAGCAUAAUCUUUAGCUACUACCUGGUCUUCUGUCAUUUGCUUUGAUUCUCUCUAGGCCUGCCUUUUCGCAGACAGCUCAUUCAAACAGAAUCUAGAACAUUCCUGAGGUACCCCAGUGGUCUUGAUCACUUCAUGGUGACCAGGAAUGCUAAGAGGAUGUGAUAUGAAAUACUGAGGUAUACUGCAGCAGCGGCAGGAGUAAGAGGGUAGCUGGUGGGUCCAUGCCCAAGUGUCUUGAGAAAUCACGCCAUGCAACAGUCCUCACUUUUUGGAUUCAUGAAGAUAUAAAAUAUGAGGCCUACACACAGGAACUUUUCAAUCCAAUUGAGCCCAGGGAUUACUGCUCCUCAGCCCUUCAGUUCUAAAGGCGUGUCCCACCAUCCAUGUAGCCUACAAGAAAAGGGACAGGAUACCUGCCCAUACAGCCUUUCAUUAGGAGCGUGUGCUGGCUAGUCUCAUCAACCUGACACCAGCUAGAAUCGUCUGGCUAGAGAGAACGUCAAUCAUCAAUCAAGAACGUGCCACAUGGGUUUGCAGAUAAGCUAAUCUGGAGGGGCCAUUUCCUCAAUUGUAAAUCCUUCUUCUCAGAUAACACUGGCUCAUGUCACGAUCACAAAAAAUAAAACCCAAUCAGGACAGAACCCCUUCACUAAAUUUGUGCCUCAAAAUAAUUGUCCCCAAUGUAGCAUGACCUUUGUGGGGUCAUGACCACAAAGAUCCUAGAGAGCAGUCUCUUGUCUCUUUCAAACUCCAUCAACACCUGACCUUUCCCAACCUUUCUGAGCUCUUUCACCCUUCCUGCCCCAAGAUGACAAUGGAGAGAUGCGUCCCAUGAUGCAACAGUCUGUGUGCCUUGACCUUGGACUUCUAGCAAGUGUCUGUAAGAAAUAAACACUUCUUGUUCCCAAGCCA